Long non-coding RNA from Syngnathus typhle (broad-nosed pipefish), 3320 nucleotides. RefSeq lists it as uncharacterized. The transcript is spliced from 3 exons. The record is from RefSeq and is a predicted model, not a curated record. NCBI's taxonomy places the organism in Eukaryota, Metazoa, Chordata, Actinopteri, Syngnathiformes, Syngnathidae.
AUGCCAGAGAAGGCAGGACAGACAAGGGGUGGACGAGUAAGCACAUGUGAAAUGUUGCAAAGUUAAGACAACAGCAAGCCGAAUUACGACAUCACGGUUACUCGUCGGCCACCAGCAGGAGGCGCGAGCGCUCCUUUUUUGUUUAAAUGGCGUACCAAUUCAAGCAACAUACGCGAUACGGUGAAGGUCACAUGACUACAGACAUGAACAUCUGCCACCAUGGAGGGCACAUGACCACGCAAGACAUGGACGUGUGUAAAGAAAAAACAAUCAGGGAUUUGGGGGACAUGUUUAAUUUGUCACGUGACUAAUUGGCAGUGGUCAGAAGUGCGCAUCAGACGGCUUUGCCCAGGAUGAGGACGCUCAUGAUAAAGACCAUGAUAAAGAAGAGCCACAUGAAGAAUCGAUCCAUGACCUUGGCCAGCUUCCUCCAUUCCCCAACGCGCACCUGCGCGAUGCGUUGGUCCUGGUAGGCGCUGGCGAUGUACUCCACGUUGCUGCGCAGUCCUCGCUGAUGUUGACACACGCCGCACGCCUCCUUCCCGCUCUCCGCCACACCUCCCGACCGCUCGCCAUCGCCGCUGUCUGCGCUCUCCUCCAGGACGACGAAGGUGUCAUCUUUCUGCACGCUCCUGUCGCACCCACGCGCCUCCCCGUUGGACUUGUUGCCGUCGGAUUCCUCCCGCGGGUUCUCGUCCGCCUCCCCCGCCUCGUGCACGAAACACACGCGGGCCAAAUAUUUGAGGAUGAAGCGUUCGGCCCAAGCCGGCACGGGGCGUCCUUCGGGGCCGCAGUGGUGGAUGUUCAUGAUGAAAAUGGUGAGCGCCGUCGACGCCGUCACCAUCAGCAUGGUGGCGAUGUAGUACUUUCCUGCCACAUUAAACACGACGAGAUGGCGUGAGCCCUUGCAGCGGGCGGCAAAGCGUUUCGGGCGGACUCACCGAUGAGCGGGACGCUCUCGGACGGCGGCAUGCUUUCGGCCACCAGCAGCUGGAAGACGGUGAGCGCCAGCAGGACGGUGACCCCCAGCGAGACCUUCUCUCCGGAGUCGGCCGGCAGAUAGAAGCCCAGCGGGGCCAGGAAGGAGAUCAUCAUGCAAGGAAGGAGCAGGUUGAAGAUGUAGAAGGAGGACCUCCGCUUCAGGUGCAAGUUUCACAGAACCAGGCUUACCUCCCACUCCACGUUGGGGAUGAAGUCGGCCAGGUCGGCGCUGUCCAAGGCAUUGAACAAGUCCAUCUGGUUGCCGUUGUGAGUCCAGGAGCCGAACGUGAGAUGACACUCUUGCACGUCGAAGGGGAAGAAGGCCACAUCUACCGAACAUGAGCUCUUGGUGAUGGCCGGCUGGUCCCACAUCACCUGACCGUCGUGCCUCAGAACCACGUUGGUCUCCAUGGAGCUGGAGAACUCGUCAUCGGCGCUGCGGUAGAAAAGAACGCCUCGACGAGUCAGUGCAUUUUGCAGAAUUGCAAGCAGCCUAAAAAGUGCUGGAGCAGAGGCUCUUCUUCUGCAAUCUUCUUCAUCAAGCGCAGCCUCCCUUGGCUCUCUGCAACAACUCAUCCAACUGACCUGUUGUACAGGACGAUAUCGGGCCGCCACACGUAGCUGCUCGGGAUGCGGAUGGUGUCCAGCCCGUCGUAGUCGUCCUUCUUCCACGCCAGGAAGGCGUCCAUCCACACCUGCCGUACCCACAGGGUCCAAAUUUUACAUUGUUGGAAAAAAAAAGUGUGUGGAGCUUGUGGAGCUUGUGUAGCCCAGAUGCGACACCUCGUUCCUCCAGGACAACCUCGAAGGUGAGUGGGAGUUAAUUGAGCAGGAAGAUGCUCGGGUGGGCGGGGCCUAAAAGAAACUGCACGCAUGUCAUAGAUCAGUGCUUCUCAAAUAGUGGGGCGCGCCAAUCCAUGGUCUUCAGAUGCCACGCUGUCGCCAUCUCCUGGUCAGCUAGUGAAAUGCUUUUGCUGUUUUUUUUCCCUCUCAAUUAUAACAAAUCAAUCAGCCAGUUGGUUUUCUAUAUUUAAUAUCUGAUAUCAGACAAAACCAAAUUGUGAAUCAGUCACCUAGGCUAUAGCAGAACAAACAAUCCAUGGUCUUCAGAUGCCACGCUGUCGCCAUCUCCUGGUCAGCUAGUGAAAUGCUUUUGCUGUUUUUUUUUCCUCUCAAUUAAAACAAAUCAAUCAGCCAGUUGGUUUUCUUUAUUUAAUAUCUGAUAUCAGACAAAACCAAAUUGUGAAUCAGUCACCUAGGCCAGUGCUUCUCAAAUAGUGGGGCGCGCCACCCUUGGGGGGCCAAUGCUAUUCCUGGGGGGGGCGCGUGUGACCCUGGGGAACAGGCUUUUUUUUUUGGCAGUACUAGAAUAAAGUGUAAUUGCGCGUUUACUACAGCAGGGGGCAGUGGCGCUCUCAUUGUUACUUCUGUCACGUUUGCGACAGUGCAACAUUUUACGACUUACAAGACAAGUUAGGAUAGUCACGGUGGGGAGGGGGGGCGCGAAUAGUUUUCUUCUUGCUAGGGGGGGGCGUAACAGAAAAUAAUUGAGAAGCACUGGGUUAAAUAAAGGUUAACUUAAAAAAAAAAAAAAAAAAAAAAGUGAACCCUGAACUUUGAACCCGCGGUGACCCCGCGGUGACCCCGUGGUGACCCCAUGAACCCGCGUUGACCCCUGGGUGACCCCGUGGUGACCCCUGGGUGACCUUUGAACCCUGAACUUUCAACUCUAGUUAAAAAUCGAAAAUGUGCACAUGACCCCGUGAACUUUGAACCGACCUUUGACCCCUGGGUGAACUUUGAACCGUAAACUUUGACCUUUGACCCCUAGCUAAUUACGUUUUUGUUUUGUUUUUUUAAACCGGCAUAGCAGAACGAUCCAUGGUCUUCAGAUGCCGCGCUGUCGCCAUCUCCUGGUCAGUUAGUGAAAUGCUUUUGCUGAUGUUUUUUUUUCUCUCAAUUAAAACAAAUCAAUUAGCCAGUUGGUUUUCUUUAUUUAAUAUCUAUUAUCAGACAAAACCAAAUUGUGAAUCAGUCACCUAGGCUAUAGCAGAACAAACAAUCCAUGGUCUUCAGAUGCCACGCUGUCGCCAUCUCCUGGUCAGCUAGUGAAAUGCUUUUGCUGUUUUUUUUCCCUCUCAAUUAAAACAAAUCAAUCAGCCAGUUGGUUUUCUUUAUUUAAUAUCUGAUAUCAGACAAAACCAAAUUGUAAAUCAGUCACCUAGGCUAUAGCAGAACAAACAAUCCAUGGUCUUCAGAUGCCACGCUGUCGCCAUCUCCUGGUCAGCUAGUGAAAUGCUUUUGCUGUUUUUUUUCCCUCUCAAUUAAAACAAAUCAAU